Molecule: long non-coding RNA, 856 nt
Filed under: Brassica rapa (field mustard)
Lineage: Eukaryota; Viridiplantae; Streptophyta; Magnoliopsida; Brassicales; Brassicaceae
Description: long non-coding RNA (BRAP_LNC000979)
Source: RNAcentral
UACUUGUUAUUACUUUCAACCCAAAAAUAUGGAUAAAAUCAAUUUACAACCGAGAGAAACAAAAUCGGUACAACAUACAAUCUUAAAAGAUUAAAUCUGAUAGACUACAUUGACGAGUUGUUAUUAGCAACAUCGGAUUACACAUGUUCAUCACUUCUCGAUUGAUGUUAAUCCAUGAAAGGAGCUAUAUAUAGGCUUCCCACUUUCCUCCACAACUAAAUCCACCACAUGCUUUGAAGCUCGAAAUCACUAUCGAGUGGACAUGGAAACUCCAUAUCUAAGAACGAAGUCGCAACCACCCCUGACCAAGUUGAAGACGAGCUGAGAUUGGAACCGCAUUGGCAAGAAGUAAUUUGAAAUUGCCAUCUCAAAAAUCACCACUCUAAAAUUUGACCUCUGCCGCUUCCAAGCCUCCCUGACCUCGACUCUACACCGGAGUCAGUCACCAUCAAGCCGAGUGUUCACCGGGGCCCCGAAUAGGAGCUCGAGAUAUCAAUGACGUCGCUAGGGGUUGACAUCUCACAGAGGGGAAAACAAAAGAAAAUAGGAGGCAAAGAGAAAAACAAAGAAAGGGAGAGGAAGUGCGACCUGCUUCGGCUUGUCGAGCACCGCGCCAGAGGAGAACGGUCACCUUAAGGACUACUUUUCUUUGAGAGGAAAUAAGAGAGGAAUUGUUGUCUGAGUUAAUACUCUUUUGAUUCAUCAUAUUUAGUAUCUAUCGAAGUAAAAAAGAUUUCAAAUUAGAAGUCAUAAUUUUUCUCAGUAUAAAAACAUAAGUUGAUGGUGAUGCAUUUACAAGAUCUGAUAAAUUAUGUAAGACAAUUGAAUGAGGAUAUCAAAAUUAAAGGAAACUCAA